AUUUCCGUAGUGUUGUGGUCAUCACGUUUGCCCUACACGCAAAAGGUCCCCAGUUCGAAACUGGUCGGAAACA
This 73-nucleotide transfer RNA is filed under the name Danionella cerebrum. RNAcentral describes it as "tRNA-Val". The record is from RNAcentral. Lineage: Eukaryota; Metazoa; Chordata; Actinopteri; Cypriniformes; Danionidae.